This 253-nucleotide ribosomal RNA is filed under the name uncultured bacterium. RNAcentral's name for it is "partial 16S ribosomal RNA". It matches the Rfam family "Bacterial small subunit ribosomal RNA", at positions 524 to 776 of the family's 1533-position model. The record is from RNAcentral.
UACGAAGGGUCCAAGCGUUAUCCGGAUUUAUUGGGUUUAAAGGGUGCGUAGGCGGCUUAUUAAGUCAGGGGUGAAAGCCUGCAGCUUAACUGCAGAACUGCCAUUGAUACUGAUGAGCUUGAGUAUAGUUGAGGUGGGCGGAAUGUGUCAUGUAGCGGUGAAAUGCUUAGAUAUGACACAGAACACCGAUUGCGAGGGCAGCUCGCUAAACUAUAACUGACGCUGAGGCACGAAAGCGUGGGGAGCGAACAGG